CCUACGGGAGGCAGCAGUGAGGAAUAUUGGUCAAUGGACGAGAGUCUGAACCAGCCAAGUAGCGUGAAGGAUGACUGCCCUAUGGGUUGUAAACUUCUUGUAUAAAGGAAUAAAACGAGGCACGGGUGCCUUUUUGAAUGUACUUUAUGAAAAAGGAUCGGCUAACUCCGUGUCAGCAGCCGCGGUAAUACGGAGGAUCCGAGCGUUAUCCGGAUUUAUUGGGUUUAAAGGGAGCGUAGAUGGGUUGUUAAGUCAGUUGUGAAAGUUUGCGGCUCAACCGUAAAAUUGCAAUUGAUACUGGCAGUCUUGAGUACAGUUGAGGUAAGCGGAAUUCGUGGUGUAGCGGUGAAAUGCUUAGAUAUCACGAAGAACCCCGAUUGCAAAGGCAGCUUACUAAACUGUGACUGACAUUGAUGCUCGAAAGUGUGGGUAUCAAACAGGAUUAGAUACCCUUGUAGUC
RNAcentral lists this ribosomal RNA (460 nucleotides) under uncultured bacterium. Its description in RNAcentral is "partial 16S ribosomal RNA". It matches the Rfam family "Bacterial small subunit ribosomal RNA", at positions 338 to 795 of the family's 1533-position model. The record is from RNAcentral.